AUACGGAGGGUGCAAGCGUUGUCCGGAAUCACUGGGUUUAAAGGGUGCGUAGGCGGCCAUAUUAGUCAGUAGUGAAAGGUUGCAGCUUAACUGUAAGACUGCUAUUGAAACUGUAUGGCUUGAAUUAGGAUGAGGUAGGCGGAAUGUGACAUGUAGCGGUGAAAUGCUUAGAUAUGUCAUAGAACACCGAUUGCGUAGGCAGCUUACUAGACCUAUAUUGACGCUGAGGCACGAAAGCGUGGGGAGCGAACAGGAUUAGAAACCCCGGUAGUCC
Molecule: ribosomal RNA, 274 nt
Filed under: uncultured bacterium
Lineage: Bacteria
Description: partial 16S ribosomal RNA
Rfam family: Bacterial small subunit ribosomal RNA
Source: RNAcentral